AUACAUACCUGGCAGGGGAGACAUGAUAAUCAAGAAGGUGGUUUUCCCACCGUGAGGCUCACCCAUUACUCUCUGCAUGUGCUGAGCCCUGAAAUUUCCUCAAACAUGGGAAACUGACUGCAUAAUUUGUGGUAGUGGAAGACUGUGUUUGCACUCUCCCCAA
Small nuclear RNA from Artibeus jamaicensis (Jamaican fruit-eating bat), 163 nucleotides. RefSeq annotates it as U1 spliceosomal RNA. NCBI's taxonomy places the organism in Eukaryota, Metazoa, Chordata, Mammalia, Chiroptera, Phyllostomidae. The record is from RefSeq and is a predicted model, not a curated record. The transcript has a single exon.